This 186-nucleotide small nuclear RNA is filed under the name Bigelowiella natans. RNAcentral describes it as "U2 spliceosomal RNA". It matches the Rfam family "U2 spliceosomal RNA". From Rfam's summary of the family: U2 is a small nuclear RNA (snRNA) component of the spliceosome (involved in pre-mRNA splicing). Complementary binding between U2 snRNA (in an area lying towards the 5' end but 3' to hairpin I) and the branchpoint sequence (BPS) of the intron results the bulging out of an unpaired adenosine, on the BPS, which initiates a nucleophilic attack at the intronic 5' splice site, thus starting the first of two transesterification reactions that mediate splicing. The record is from Rfam by way of RNAcentral. Lineage: Eukaryota; Cercozoa; Chlorarachniophyceae.
CUACCUAUCUCGGCCUUUUGGCUAAGAUCAAGUGUAGUAUCUGUUCUUAGCAACUUAACCGUUGCUAUGAGAUUCAAAGAAUCUCGUCUCAAUUUUUACUAAGGCUUUACCAAUUAAGGAAUUCGGCCUUGCUAAUCAUUUAUUAUUUAUCUAAUAAAUCAAUAACGUUGGAAAGAUAUAUGAAUU